RNAcentral lists this ribosomal RNA (455 nucleotides) under Allobosea thiooxidans. RNAcentral's name for it is "bacterial SSU rRNA". It matches the Rfam family "Bacterial small subunit ribosomal RNA", at positions 1 to 504 of the family's 1533-position model. Lineage: Bacteria; Pseudomonadati; Pseudomonadota; Alphaproteobacteria; Hyphomicrobiales; Alloboseaceae. The record is from RNAcentral.
CCUGGAGAGUUUGAUCCUGGCUCAGAGCGAACGCUGGCGGCAGGCUUAACACAUGCAAGUCGAACGGGCACUUCGGUGCUAGUGGCAGACGGGUGAGUAACACGUGGGAACGUACCUUUCGGUUCGGAAUAAUUCAGGGAAACUUGGACUAAUACCGGAUACGCCCUUCGGGGGAAAGAUUUAUCGCCGAUAGAUCGGCCCGCGUCUGAUUAGCUAGUUGGUGAGGUAAUGGCUCACCAAGGCGACGAUCAGUAGCUGGUCUGAGAGGAUGAUCAGCCACAUUGGGACUGAGACACGGCCCAAACUCCUACGGGAGGCAGCAGUGGGGAAUAUUGGACAAUGGGCGCAAGCCUGAUCCAGCCAUGCCGCGUGAGUGAUGAAGGCCUUAGGGUUGUAAAGCUCUUUUGUCCGGGAAGAUAAUGACUGUACCGGAAGAAUAAGCCCCGGCUAACUUC